GCCGGACCUCUCCUCGGCGCGUCCCAGCGACUUUUUUAGGCCUGUUUGUCGCCCAGCAGUACUCGAUUCUUCACUUUUGGAUUCCCUUGAAUCUCUAUGGUGUCCUUUGGAGCCUAGCUAAGUAAAAAAUUAGAGACCUGUGGGCCCCUUAUAUUGGAAUCGGAGCUUAAGAUGGGAAAGGUUUGCUUGAAAACGUUUCUGCGAGCGAUGGAGGCGCGUCCUGCGACGAGGCGGGAGGAGCGCUGGGACCUGGUGGAUGGGAGAGGGCGACGGUAUAAGGAAGCUCUUGGAUCCAGGAACUUCUGAAAUCCGGACGAUUAAAAUUUGUAUUUAAUUAAGCGAAAGCUGGAGUUGUCUGCGUAGGUGAUGGAAACUGGAAUGAGAUGCAUUUUUGUGCCUGUGCGGAGUGUACAAUUUUAUAUUGACUUUCACUGGAACGUAAUUUUUAUUUCCGCUCCCCAGUCACCCAGGAGGCAGAGAUGCACCAUGGGCUGAGUUCCAGAGAAUUUAUGGGGUCAGACCCUGGGCGGUGGGGGGUGGAAGGCUGAGGCUUGGCUUUAAAAGAACGCAAAGUUCUGCUUGUAUCGAUCUAAAUUUAUUUUCCUUUAUUAUCCUAAUGCACAUUUCUUGAGAUAAAUUACAAAUCCAAGUGCUGGAUUUAUUGGAGUUGGUAUGUUGUGUUUUGUCUAAGUUAUUAAUUACUAAUAUACUAUCGUUAUUAUUAUUUUUAUUAUUAUUUUGAGAUGGAGUCUCUGUUUCCCAGG
Molecule: long non-coding RNA, 764 nt
Filed under: Homo sapiens (human)
Lineage: Eukaryota; Metazoa; Chordata; Mammalia; Primates; Hominidae
Description: long non-coding RNA NONHSAT239535
Source: RNAcentral